Molecule: ribosomal RNA, 256 nt
Filed under: uncultured bacterium
Lineage: Bacteria
Description: partial small subunit ribosomal RNA
Rfam family: Bacterial small subunit ribosomal RNA
Source: RNAcentral
AGGACGAACGCUGGCGGCGUGCUUAACACAUGCAAGUCGAGCGGAAAGGCCCUUUCGGGGGUACUCGAGCGGCGAACGGGUGAGUAACACGUGAGUAACCUGCCCCAGUCUUUGGGAUAACCCUCGGAAACGGGGGCUAAUACCGGAUAUUACUGCUCAUCGCAUGGUGGGUGGUGGAAAGUUUUUCGGUCUGGGAUGGGCUCGCGGCCUAUCAGCUUGUUGGUGGGGUGAUGGCCUACCAAGGCGACGACGGGUA